AGGUUCUAGUCUGGAACACUCCACUAUUUUGACAUCACUGGAUUCUCUCUUUGUCAUAAUUCUAUAUUUCACAGGAAAAGCAUGCCUUUGACUCAGAACUUGGAAAGGCUAUUUUUGGACUCUCUCUCAGAUGUAGUCUGUGCUGGCUUGGGGAUUCUGGAUGUUGUAGCACAAAGAAGUAAUUUUUAUAAGUUCUGCACUGACUACCACCCCUUGUUUGCUUUGACCUUAAAUAACUGUUGGACUGUGUGAUGGAGACACAUUUUGUUUUCUCACGUUUCCUGACACUGUCAGUUAUAGUCACAUUUACUCAUCACCUCAUGCCUGUGAAUAAGGAAUCACUGCCUGGCAAGAUGGCUGUGCUGUUCCACAGGCUACCUACAGCUACAGAAUCAUUCUGCUGGGAAGACCUGGAACCAUCUGAACCAGAGAUGUUAUCCUAACAUUUGUGCCAGCAGAUCCCUACUGAAGCCAAAGGUCCUUCACUGGUGCUGGAAACCAGCCUGCCAUUUUCUUCUCACAAACCAAACCACAAAAAGUGACUAGAUUUAGAAACAGUUCAGACUUAUAUUAUUUAUGCCAGCAGUCCACAAAACCACUGAGGCUAGGCGGAAAAACCUUGCCAAGUACAUAAGUUUGUUUAGCUGCACAAAAAACAUCUGUGGAAGGUGAAUGUAAUAACCCUGUAUGUUACUACAGACAGGUAUUUGCAUUAAAAGUGCCAUUUACUGCUCAUGUUAACAAUGCUAUUCUGUUGUGCCUGAUAUUAGAAAAUAAUAAGGUAACACUCCACAUUAAAUGCUGAGAGUCAGCAGUGCACUCCUGC
RNAcentral lists this long non-coding RNA (826 nucleotides) under Pogona vitticeps (central bearded dragon). RNAcentral's name for it is "lncRNA (ENSPVIG00000021103.1)". The record is from RNAcentral. Lineage: Eukaryota; Metazoa; Chordata; Lepidosauria; Squamata; Agamidae.